This 1297-nucleotide long non-coding RNA is filed under the name Phasianus colchicus (ring-necked pheasant). Its description in RNAcentral is "lncRNA (ENSPCLG00000015563.1)". Lineage: Eukaryota; Metazoa; Chordata; Aves; Galliformes; Phasianidae. The record is from RNAcentral.
AUGAUCUCAUGGCUCUGCCCAUGUAAGCCAGCGCCAGCACUUUGUUUCUCCCAGUGCGGUCGUGACCAGCUUAGAGCGAUGGUUGUCGACAGCUUUCUCCUCAUCCCCAGCCUCCUGAUCCUGGUGGCUGGGGUGUCUCUGCUCACCAUUUCCUGGCACCGACAGGGUUCUGACCGGCGCCAGCAAUGGUGGACAUGGUGGCUGCAAGUGGUGGCAUCAAAGUCAGGUGCUGAGAGACAGGCAGGCAGGCACAGGAGCCCCCGGUGCAGGCCACGUUGCUCCCAGCAGCAAGCAUCAGGAUGGAAGGGCAAUCCCAUCCUGCCUCAUCUCAUCCAGCCAGGAAAGACCCGGCCUUUGUUGCUGCGCAGUGCAUGCCCCUCUCUUCACAUGGACUCUGCCACUGGUACAAUGAGCUCUGUGGGGAAACCCGGCAGGCUCCCCAGACAGGACUAGCGCCCGCAGGUUCUGGUGGCAUGUGGGAUCCCCAGGAUGCUCAGUCAGCGUCCUAGGCUAGGCGGUGGAGUUGAAGACCUGCCACCUGAGAUCUCCAACUUCACAAAGCCACCAGUGAAAGGGAUGGUCUUCCAGGAGGGCCUCGUUCAAACAGAGGAGAGAAAAUGCUGGUGGGACUACAAGACCAAGAGGCUUUUUUGGCGUACGCGCUCCCCAGCACUUCCCAAAGUGCACAGGAAAGCAGGAGCAGCUGCAAGACCAUCCCGAGGACCAGCUUUGAGCCUGGGUAGAAAAGCAGACGGCAAAGCUGAAGCCCGCCAGCCCUUCAACUCUGGCUUCAGUGAGGAGCACAGAGAAAUCGGAAAUGCUCACUAUGUGAAGUCUGUACUGGCAGCUCCUGGUGUCCCUAAAAUGGCCCAAGACUAAGAACGAUUGCUACAAGUCCGGUGGCGGAACUGAAGAGCAACCGCCUGUAACCUCUUCCUGCACGCUGCCACCAUGAAAGGGACAAUCAUGCACAAGAACAUCCUUCAAACAGAGGAGGAGAAAUGCUGGUGGAAGAGCAAGGCCAAGAGGCCUUCUGAGUAUUGUAUUGCCUCCCCAGCACUUCCCAGAGUUUAGAUGGAAGCCUGAGCAGCUGCAGGACCAACAGCAGGGCCAGCUUCAGGCCUGGAGAAAAGGAGACCACAGAACUGAAACCUGCCAGUGCCUAAACUCUGCCUUCAUUAUGGUUUUAUUAUUGUUGACAUAUUAAUAGAGAACUAAGAUCAUUAUUUGCAUCAUACCAUUUCAGAUUGAGAUCUUUCAGAUUUAGAUAAUUUAAUAAAAGUCACACUAGCCUUCA